UACAGAGGGGGCAAGCGUUGUUCGGAAUUACUGGGCGUAAAGGGCGCGUAGGUGGCCUUCUAAGUUGACCGUGAAAUCCCUGGGCUCAACCCAGGACCUGCGUCCAAGACUGGGAGGCUUGAAUCCGGGAGAGGGAUGCGGAAUUCCAGGUGUAGCGGUGAAAUGCGUAGAUAUCUGGAGGAACACCGGUGGCGAAGGCGGCAGCCUGGACCGGUAUUGACACUGAGGCGCGAAAGCCAGGGGAGCAAACGGG
Molecule: ribosomal RNA, 253 nt
Filed under: uncultured bacterium
Lineage: Bacteria
Description: partial 16S ribosomal RNA
Rfam family: Bacterial small subunit ribosomal RNA
Source: RNAcentral